This 441-nucleotide ribosomal RNA is filed under the name uncultured bacterium. RNAcentral describes it as "partial 16S ribosomal RNA". It matches the Rfam family "Bacterial small subunit ribosomal RNA", at positions 338 to 795 of the family's 1533-position model. The record is from RNAcentral.
CCUACGGGGUGCAGCAGUCGGGAAUAUUGCGCAAUGGACGAAACUCUGACGCAGUGAUGCCGCGUGCAGGACGAAGGUUUUCGGAUUGUAAACUGCUUUAGACAGGGAAGAAACAAGACAGUACCAGUAAAAUAAGCUCCGACUAACUACGUACCAGCAGCCGCGGUAAUCCGUAGGGAACAAGCGUUAUUCGGACUUAUUGGGUGUAAAGGGUGCGUAAACGGGAAGUCAAGUUAGUUGUGAAAUCCCUCGGCUUAACUGAGGAACUGCAACCGAGACUAACUAUCUUGAGUGCUGGAGAGGAGGGUAGAAUUCCUAGUGUAGCGGUGAAAUGCGUAGAUAUUAGGAGGAACACCAGUGGCGAAGGCGACUUUCUGGACAGUAACUGACGUUGAGGUGCGAAAGUGUGGGGAGCAAACAGGAUUAGAUACCCUAGUAGUC